AGGAUAGUUGGAGAAAGCGAGAACUGCUAAUUACUCGUACC
This 41-nucleotide transfer RNA is filed under the name Pelodytes caucasicus (Caucasus parsley frog). RNAcentral describes it as "partial tRNA-Ser". Lineage: Eukaryota; Metazoa; Chordata; Amphibia; Anura; Pelodytidae. The record is from RNAcentral.